CUAAAUUCUGAGGGAAAAAUGACCCCCACCCCAAACCCACACUGAUUGCUGGAAAUUAAGUCAUUAGAGGUCCACCUAACGGCAAACCCCAGGCACUGCAUCUGGUGGGUUCACUCCCCAGUCGGGCGUGUGGGGAGAAGGGAGUCUGGCAGGUGUCCUCACAGAGGCAGGCGCUGAGCUGUUCAGACUCACGUUCAAUGCCACGGCAGUUUCAGUGCCUGUGGAUGUGCGCCCUGGGCUGCGCAGGCCCCGGACUACUAAAUGUCAGCUUGAUGGUGGCUCCACUUUACGCUUUGGUCAGCUUGCUCUCAGAACCGAGGGGGCACUUCACUUGUACCCACACACGCUUCCCUCACCAACAGAAGAAAGUCAGCAUUGCACACAGAGCCACAUCAAUGUCUCAAAAGGACUUCAGAGAAGACCUGUUUGGGUCCAUUUCCAGAAACGAAAUGUCCAGCCUCUCUGUGCUUAGAUUUUACCCUCCUUUCAAGCUAAUAGGUUAGCCGGUUGCUGUUUCUUGCAUGCUGCCAGAAGACAAGGGAUGGAUCAGAGACUAGAGACUUUAUUAUGCAGAGCAUGGCACCCAGCAUGAACACCAGCGUCUCUGGUGGGGCCUCCUGGAGUCUCAGGGGAGCAGCCGGAUGGCAUAACCCAGAGGGUGACCACACAGGCAAUGAGCUGAGGAUCUUGGAGCUGGGGGGAGCCACUGCUUUUAUAGCACGCAAGCCUGCUCUUUGUCCAGGGGGAGACAGUCCCUUGUCCCACAAGGUCACCAGCUGUGUAAACAACCCCAAGAACUGGCUGAGAUAAAACAGUGGUUAGGAUUUUGCAUUCUUGGCACACACAGCAGGACGUGAGGGACCCAGGGAGGCUCUCUCCCGACAGGGACCACCUCUGUGGCUGAAAAGCCAGAGACACACAAUUAACUGGCCUGCCAGAACUGUGUGGAAUGGGAAAGCAGCAGUUCCCAAAGGAGAGGGUGCGGGGAUAAACAAAAACAAAAACAAAAACAUAGCAAUGGCAACAGCAAGAGCAGCACGUGUGCACCAGCCUCCAAUGAGCCAGAGGGGG
This 1071-nucleotide long non-coding RNA is filed under the name Equus asinus (donkey). RNAcentral describes it as "lncRNA (ENSEASG00005034712.1)". Lineage: Eukaryota; Metazoa; Chordata; Mammalia; Perissodactyla; Equidae. The record is from RNAcentral.